GUGGGGAAUAUUGGGCAAUGGGGGCAACCCUGACCCAGCAACGCCGCGUGAGGGAAGAAGGUUUUCGGAUUGUAAACCUCUGUCCUAUGGGAAGAAGGAAGUGACGGUACCAUAGGAGGAAGCCCCGGCUAACUACGUGCCAGCAGCCGCGGUAAUACGUAGGGGGCGAGCGUUGUCCGGAAUUACUGGGCGUAAAGGGUGCGCAGGUGGUCUGACAAGUCAGAUGUGAAAUACCGAUGCUUAACGUCGGGGCUGCAUUUGAAACUAUGAGGCUGGAGUGCAGGAGAGGGAAGCGGAAUUCCUAGUGUAGCGGUGAAAUGCAUAGAUAUUAGGAGGAACACCAGUGGCGAAGGCGGCUUUCUGGACUGUAACUGACACUGAGGCACGAAAGCGUGGGGAGCAAACAGGAUUAGAAACCCGGGUAGUCC
RNAcentral lists this ribosomal RNA (428 nucleotides) under uncultured bacterium. Its description in RNAcentral is "partial 16S ribosomal RNA". It matches the Rfam family "Bacterial small subunit ribosomal RNA", at positions 354 to 796 of the family's 1533-position model. The record is from RNAcentral.